GUGCUUGCUUUGGCAGCACAUAUACUAAAAUUGGAAUGAUACAGAGAAGAUUGGCAUGGCCCCUGCGCAAGGAUGACACGCAAAUUUGUGAAGCGUUCCAUAAUUUU
RNAcentral lists this small nuclear RNA (107 nucleotides) under Procavia capensis (Cape rock hyrax). Lineage: Eukaryota; Metazoa; Chordata; Mammalia; Hyracoidea; Procaviidae. The record is from RNAcentral.